This 227-nucleotide unclassified non-coding RNA is filed under the name Hevea brasiliensis (rubber tree). Lineage: Eukaryota; Viridiplantae; Streptophyta; Magnoliopsida; Malpighiales; Euphorbiaceae. The record is from RNAcentral.
UUGGGUGGUAACUAGAGUUAGUGACUCAGUUACCCUAGCAUCAGCUAGAGUUGCAUUAAGAGUUACCAUCAGACCAGAGGUUUCGGAUUAGUUGCAAAGUAAAGGUGACACCUAUAGAGUGAGACCGUCUAGUCUUCGGUAUGGAAGUUUGGAUGGUUUUUGCAGAACGAUAGACGUUUUGCUUAGAACUUAGUGAGAAUAGAAUACCUUGUGUGUAUCAGUAUGGA